Molecule: ribosomal RNA, 253 nt
Filed under: uncultured bacterium
Lineage: Bacteria
Description: partial 16S ribosomal RNA
Rfam family: Bacterial small subunit ribosomal RNA
Source: RNAcentral
UCCGGAGGGUGCAAGCGUUGCUCGGAAUUAUUGGGCGUAAAGGGUAGGUAGGUGGUCUCAUUUGUCUGGGGUGAAAGCCUUGAGCUUAACUCAAGAAGUGCCCCAGAAACGGUGAGACUAGAGUUCUGGAGAGGGUCGUGGAAUUCCCGGUGUAGCGGUGAAAUGCGUAGAGAUCGGGAGGAACACCUGAGGCGAAAGCGGCGACCUGGACAGAUACUGACACUCAACUACGAAAGCGUGGGGAGCAAACAGG